This 1116-nucleotide ribosomal RNA is filed under the name Triticum aestivum (bread wheat). Its description in RNAcentral is "partial small subunit ribosomal RNA". Lineage: Eukaryota; Viridiplantae; Streptophyta; Magnoliopsida; Poales; Poaceae. The record is from RNAcentral.
AUGCUGUACUGGGGCAACAAGAGGAGCCUGCGCGCCCGGCGGCAGUUCCUCCCGGCGCUGCUGUGCGCCGCGGAGCCCCACGCGCUGGUCGUCGGCGCCGUCAGGGACUUCCUGGCCAGGACCGAGCCCAAGAGCGACAAGAACUGGGAGAACUGCGCCUCGCUCCUCUGCUGCGUCCCCAGCCUCAGGGCCGAGCCGUCGGCGGCCACGCUGGAGCGGGCCAGACGGCUGGCGGAGGACUGGAGGGAGAUGAUCGUCGGCGAGCCUGAAAGCCGCAGGGACCUCGGCCGGCUCGCCGUAUGGGGCCUUCUGCAGUUUCUUGCCUCGUACAAAAUUGCCUUGGAGCUGGACGCUGAUGGGAUCAACCAUCUCCUCGCCGACGUCCCGCGCAACAAGAAGCAGAGCUGCAUCGAGCUCCGCAAUGGCCUUGGGCUGAUCCCCACCAUGGCUGACCCGGUUGACCAUCUGACUGAGAAUGGGCAGCCAGUUGAUGCUAUCAACCAACUGAUUGAGAAUGGGAAGCUACUUGAUGCUAUCAAACUGGCGCAUGAUUUGAAUCUGACCGACAAAUAUCCUCCACUUUCCCUCAUGAAUGAUUAUGUUGAGAAGGCUAAGAAGACUGCUCAGGAGAUAUUGAGCAGGGAAGGUUCACCGGACUCUCUGAACCAGGCCAUGGCGAAGCAGGUGAACGCCCUGAUAAUGUCGUGGAGGGCGGUGGACGAGCACGUCGACGUCGCGCACCGCACCGGCAUCAAGGCAGAGAUCACCCAGCUGCUGCACGGGUACGCGCGCAAGCGGCAGAGCCUGUCGGCCGCCGGUUCUUCUUCCUCCUCCCCGCCUGCCUGGAGCCCGCAGCAGCGGCAGCAGGAGCUGCCGCCGGAAGAGGAGGGGGCCGGGCAGAAGCAGCACAAGAAGCGGAAGCGGAAGCCGCACUGGCUGCAGCGGGAGGCGAGGCAGCACCGGUUCCACGAGCAGCCCAGGUUCUUGCCCCGGUGCGUCGGAGGUGCCCGGCCGGGGUACGACGCCGGCGGGGGCCGUGAUCGUCGCGGCGAGGUGCUCCCGGGGGUCCGUGGAGGGCCUCCUCGAUGCACCGGUAGUCCGUAUUACUCUAGCUAG